This is a non-coding RNA of Kogia breviceps (pygmy sperm whale), 2134 nucleotides long. NCBI's taxonomy places the organism in Eukaryota, Metazoa, Chordata, Mammalia, Artiodactyla, Physeteridae. The record is from RefSeq and is a predicted model, not a curated record.
CGAAGCAUCAUGUGUUUAUUUGUCUUUGAAGGAUGAUGGCCAUGUCAUAACAUGUCUGAACCUGUAAGUGUGGCUGUCUGCUGAGUUUGUAGAUCUGCAUGUCGGGGUGUAGCUUAUUGUGUGCAUGCACAUGUGUAGGCAUGUGUGUAGUUGUCUUUGUGUAUCCUUCUGCAAAUAUAAUGGUCAGUGUGUCAGUCAUGUCAGGGUCAGUAACCACGUCUCUUAUGUAGUUAUGUUCAUAGUUGCUUGUUUAGCUAUAUUGUGUGUGGCUGCAUGUACGUAGUUAUGCUUGUUGUGUGUGAUCAUGAGGAUGUUUGGCUGUAAGUCUGAAGUUGUUACAGUUGCUGCGUGCUCCCAGCAUCUGACAAAAGCUCUAAGUGGCUGGGACUUCAGUAAUUGGCAGUAAACCCCAGGCCUGAGCUGCAACGUGGAAGAUCCGUCUUAUUACAGGAAGCGUGUCCUCCUCUCCCUAACCACCACUGGGCGGGCCCACUUUCGCUCCCAGAGCAGGCUCCACCUUUCUAGGUCACAUGCCCAGAGCUCUGUGCCCACCCAGAUGCUGCCAAGAACCCAGGCGCAGACGUGGCUGCAGACUGGCUCUGUGCUACAGGGACCCUGAGGCCAGACUUGCAUCUUUCCUGGAGAAAGCUCUGGGGACUUCCACAGGAAUCCUCACCAAGGGACACCAUUUCCUCUUCCCAUUUCACAGAAGAGGAAAUCGAGGCCAGAGAGGGAAAGUAGAGUGGUGGGUCUAGGUCCAUAAAAGGAGUGAGGGGAGGCCAGGGCAGGUCCCUUCCUCCUCAGCCAAGCUGCCUUUCUCAGGUCUCCUAAGCUGCCCCCGCACGCCUCACCCAGAGGCCCAGAAUCUCCUGGCCCAAACCUGAGGUCAGCAAGGGGCAGGGCUGGGAUAACCUGUCUACUUGAGUUGGAAUUUGGUUCAGGAACUCCGGGCUGGGCUCUGCCGCCCCCAGUUGAGCCUGAUGACUUGAGGCUCAGUCUCACUGACUUCGGAGCAUCCUGGAAUGGGGGCUCCCAACACUCUGCAGGUUUCUGUGGUUCCCCUGGCUGUGCAAAAGCAGGAGUCACUCUCUAAGCCUUCCCAAGCACCAGUCCAGGUCUUCCUAAGGGUUUCACAUCUCUUCCACCCUCACCACCACCAGCAGAGACAAAAAUCCACUGACAUUCCUUCCCAGGAGGUAGGUAAUCUCAUUUUACAGAUGAAGAAACUGAGGCUCUGGUCUUUAUAUGGACACCAACUCAUUACUGCCCAUGUCUACUGGAGAGCUCCCUGACACUCCAUGGAUCCAGCAACCUCUCCCUCUUCCCUGCUCUAAAACCACCCUUAGGGUCCACCCCUCUCUCAAGCUCUUAGGAUUACACAAUGUGCUGGAAACGCAGGUCCUGCUCCAGCACAUGCCUACAGAUGGUGGGAGGAGGAGGGCGCUGGGACAGGGCAAAGUGAGGGACCUGCCUGCUGGACUACCCUCCUCUCUCUUCCCUCUCCUGGUGAGCUCCAGCCCUCCCCGUCCAAGGCCAAGUUUGCUUGUCUAGGCAACAGGGCGGCAGCCAACUUGAGGCAAAGAUCACAGGGAGGAUCAAACAUUAACUUCAAGUCGGCCUGAGCGCUAAGGGCUCCUGGCACUGAGCACUCAGGGAUCCGCAGUCAGGGUCAGGACACUGCCUCCCCAAUGGGAUUGGAUCUGGAAGGGAGGAAACAGAAUCAUGCCUCCACAGCUGUGCACACAUCUGUGUUCCUGUGGAAGGACCUUCCAAGUGUCCCCAGCAGACCCAGAUCCCUUCCUAAACGGUGGACUCACCUGGCUUCUGAUGACAAAUUGAAAUUAAAAUAGAGUGAUCACAGUUCAGGCAUACAAAAAUGGAGUCCGGUAGCAGUUGAGGAUCUGGUUUCAGACACAUCUGUGCAUCACUGAAAACCUGAACUUUCUUUGAGCGGUACCAGAUCCACGGACAUCACCAGAGUACGCAGAGCAACACUUGCCAGCUGCAAACCUUAUGGUCUCAAGGUCUCUCUUUGUAAUUAUGCAACCAUUUCGGACCCCAACCGGUCCUUACUUAGUAAGCACUUUUACUUCUGGCCAGCUCCGAUUGUAAUUCUUGAUAAACAACUCCUGUA